AUUCCAGCUCCAAUAGCGUAUAUUAAAGUUGUUGCAGUUAAAAAGCUCGUAGUUGGAUUUCUGGUAGGAGCGACCGUGCCGAACUUGAUUGUUCGUGUAUUGUGUUGUCUUCAGCCAUCCUCGUGGAGAACUUUUCUAACAUUAACUUGUUGGGAUUGGGACCCGCGUCGUUUACUGUGAAAAAAUUAGAGUGUUUAAAGCAGGCAUUAGCUUGAAUACAUUAGCAUGGAAUAAUAAGAUAGGACUUUGGUACUAUUUUGUUGGUUUGCAUACCAAAUUAAUGAUCAACAGGAACAGUUUGAGGAUAUUCGUAUGAACAUGUCAGAGGUGAAAUUCUCGGAUUUUGAUCAGACGAACUACUGCGAAAGCAUUUAUCAAGGAUGUUUUCAUCA
This 392-nucleotide ribosomal RNA is filed under the name Aplanochytrium sp. Its description in RNAcentral is "partial small subunit ribosomal RNA". It matches the Rfam family "Eukaryotic small subunit ribosomal RNA", at positions 582 to 975 of the family's 1831-position model. Lineage: Eukaryota; Bigyra; Thraustochytrida; Thraustochytriidae. The record is from RNAcentral.